Molecule: long non-coding RNA, 90 nt
Organism: Balaenoptera musculus (blue whale)
Lineage: Eukaryota; Metazoa; Chordata; Mammalia; Artiodactyla; Balaenopteridae
Exons: 3
Source: RefSeq, a predicted model, not a curated record
GGUGAGGUCAAUAUAGAACUUCUAAUCUACAGAAUGGUAAGAUAAUAAAUUUGUAUUGUUUUAAGCCACUAAGUUUGUGGUAAUUUGUUA